ACGCUGCCGCUUGUCUCGGAUUGUGAAGCCGGUCCUGGCUUCCUUGUCUAAAAGCUCUUUGGGACUGAAAUGGCUGUUUAUGAAUCCUUGUCAACCUCGUUCGCAGUCAACGACCAGGGAAUAAAUUAUUCGUGGAAUGACACAGUUCAUAAUUAUUAUAAGGUAUUAUUAAAUUAUGAAAGCGUAGGCCGGGCGCGGUGGUUCACACCUGUAAUCACAGCAUUUUGGGAGGCCGAUGCGGGCGGAUCAUCAGGUCAGGAGUUCGAGACCAGCCUGACCAACAUGGUGAAACCCCGUCUCUACUAAAAAUACGAAAAAAUUAGCCAGGCGUGGUGGAGCGCGCCUGUGAUCCCAGCUACUCAGGAGGCUGAGGCAGGAGAAUCGCUUGAACCCAGGAGGUUACAGUUAGCUGAGAUUGCGCCACUGUAUUCUGUCUACCCUGGGCGACAGAGCGAGAUUCCGUCUCAAAAAAAUAAAAAUAAAAUAUAUGAACGCAUAAUGGUGACGGUGGCUAACAUUGAACGCUUACUUUGUGCCAGUUGAUAUGCCAAGUACAAGUGCGAAUACUUACAAAUAUUACCUUAUUGAAUCUUCACAUAAUCGCAAAUAAGUAGACUAUUUAUUUCUUUUUACAGAUAAGGAAAUGGAGGUCCUGGAGGUUACAUGACUAGCCCAACAAGUAUGACAACUCCGAUAUCGGCUUGCGGUUCACUCAUUCAGUUUGCUGAUUCAGAGAUCUGUGCAUUCACUCACCUGUUCCUUCUCCAGCAAGGCCUCCCCACCCUACCACCUCCUCCUUUCUUAGUUUGGCUGUCUGUGACUCACUCAACACACAUCCCCAGACCUUUCUGGAACUCCAGGUUGGGCAGAUUGGCCUCCACAGCAACCUGUGGAUCUCUGAACACUGGGGCAAGGGCCUGGUCUCAAGCAGCUUCGUAUUCUGAGAUCAGUUUUUACUGAGUAUUGGACCAGCCAGGAUACUAACUAGUAUUUAUUCAGCACCUACUAUGUUGAGUAUAAAUAGCAUAGUAAAAGUAGGAAACACACAAUAAUACCUCAACAGAAAAAUGAGUAAACCAGCGAGGUGUCACGCCUGUAGUCCCAGGUUCUUGGGAAGCUGAGGCCGGCUAAGUUCAAGGAGGAUCGCUUGAGCAGGAGUUCCAGGCUGCAGCGCGCUAUGAUCGCGCCUGCGAACAGCCAUUGCACUCCAGCCUGGGCAACAGAGCGCGACUGUGUCUCUAAAAAACAACGCAAAACAAAAAACACGGCAGAACUUAAGCAUUUUGCUGCACUGCCCAGUGAAAUCCAUUCCAUUUGACAAAUACUGCCCUCUUAACAUUCUUAGAAUUUUUUUUUGGAGCAAGUGUUAGCGUCCCUGUUUUCAAGGAGGUGGUCAAGUAUGCACAGACAUCAGUAGUGACGUUUGCUGGAGACUUCCUUUAGACAAAAAUGAACUUAGGGACAGCACUUAAGUUAGAGGCCAAGUCUUUGGCCAAAGUAGCCUGCCAUCCUACUCCAGAGAACUGCUGUGGUUAAAAGAGGAAAAACUGUAUUCUGCGAUCAAGUAAGGCUCUAAACCCAGUAUUAGGAAAGAACAGUAGCCUUUUGUAUUAGAAAGAACACUGGCGUGGAAGUCAAAAGUUCUGGAUUCUAGUGCCAGCUAGAAUCUACCACGAUCGUGGUAGGCAAGCUGCUCCAAAACCCAGUUUCUGGUAAAUGAGAGUGAUGAUUACUAACUCACCUCACUGACUGUUGGGAAAAGCUAAGCUAUCCUAAUGUACACAUUUUACCAGAUGCUACUUCAUUAUUAAUUAUUAAUGAUCUCAAAACACCAGUUGUGGCCAAGCACAGUGGGUCACACCUGUAAUCCCAGCACGUUGGGAGGCUGAGGCGGUAGAAUCACGUGAGUCCAGGAGUUUGAGACCAGCCUGGGCAACAUAGGGAGGCCCCGUCUCUUAAAAAAAAAUUAAAAAUUAGCUGGGCAUGGUGGCACACACCUAUAAUUCCAGCUACUUGAGAGGCUGAGAUAGGAGAAUCACUGGAACCCAGAAGGUCAAGGCUGCAAUGAGCCAUCACUGUGCUACUCUACUCCAGCCUGGGCAACACAGCAAGACCCUGUGUCAAAAACCAGCACCAAAAAAGAACAUAAGUUGUUCCACAGGGCUGGUUCUUCGACACAUAGACACAAACUGCGAUUCUGUGAAGUGUUGCUUUAUAAUAUUGGGUUAAGGAGAAGGUCAAGGCUGCAGUGAGCCAUCACUGUGCCACUCUACUCCAGCCUGGGCAACACAGCAAGACCCUGUGUCAAAAACCAGCACCAAAAAAGAACAUAAGUUGUUCCACAGGGCUGGUUCUUCGACGCAUAGACACAAACUGCGAUUCUGUGAAGUGUUGCUUUAUAAUAUUGGGUUAAGGAUGAUCUUGUCAAAAUACAGUACCCUGAAAACAACAUAUUAGGAGAGCCAGAAGUUUCCAAAGAAAGAAAGCACACCAAAGCUCUAGAGAAUUUUGAAAGUAAAAAACUUGUUUGGGGAGAAAAAAAACAAAAACAGAAAAAAGCAUUACUUAAAUCUUUAUACACAGAAACAGAAUAACCACUAGGGUAAACAAAGCAGCUAUGGCUUUAUUUCCCUCUACCUUCGUAACUUUGACAUUCUGCCUUACAGUCUAUUUUCACACAGUUUCUGUUGUUAAUGGGAGCUGAGGAACAAGGUACUGACACCUUCUUAUGGUUCAUCAAAAGAACCUUUGACUCUGAAAGGAUCUUGGAUAGGAUCAUCUCUCCAAACUUCCUAUUCAUGGAUCUUCUGACAUUCAGUUAGCCAGCCUCUUUUCUAACACUCUCUAUUAAAGUUAAGUCACUAGCCUGUGAUCCCAGCACUUUGGGAGGCCAAGGCCGGUGGAUCACCUGAGGUCAGGAGUUCCAGACCAGCCUGGCCAUCAUGGUGAAAUCCUGUCUCUAGUGAAAAUACAAAAAUUAGCCAGGUGUGGUGGUGCACACCUGUAAUCCCAGCUACUUGGGAGGCUGAGGUGGGAGGAUCCUCUGAUCUGGGGAGGCAGAGGUGACAGUGAGCUGAGAUCACACCACUGCACUCCAGCCUGUGCGACAGAGGGAGACUCCGUCUCAAUGAAUAAAUAAAUAAAUAGCCGGGCGUGGUGGCUCACGCCUGUAAUCUCAGCACUUUGGGAGGCUGAGGCAGGUGGAUCACUUGAGGUCAGGAGCUUGAAACCAGCCUGGCCAACGUGGUGAGACCCUGUCUCUACUAAAAAUACAAAAAAUUAGCCAGGUGUGUUGGUGUGCUCCCGUAAUGCCAGCUACUUGGGAGGCUAAAGUGGGAGAAUCACUUAAACCCGGGAGGUGAAGGAUGCAGUGAGCCAAGAUAGCACCACUGCACUUUAGCCUGGGCGACAAGAGCAAGACUCCAUCUCAAAAAUAAUAAAUAAAUAAAUAAAUAAAUAAAUAAAGUUAAGUAACUACCUUUCAGAGCUACUAUUUUCUGGGUGUUCAUAAGGGCUAGAAAGUUCUUCCCUUUACAGAGACAAAAUCAGCUACUUUGUAAUACACACCCAUUGGUCUAAGUUGUGCUUGCUGAGAUUACACAGAAGAGUCCAACUCUUCUACAUGAUAACCCUGCGAACGUUUGAAAAUAGUUAUCCCACACCCACAUGCCUUCUAGUUUUCAGGGUAACUACCCCACAUCCUCCAACCGUUCCUCAAAAGAUGUAGUUUCUAGGCCAUUCAUCAUCCUGUUGCCCAACUUGGGCAUACUCCAACUUGUCAACAUCACUCUUACAGCCUGGGAGGAAAUACCAUCCUCCAGGUGUGAUCUUAACAUUGCAGAAUGUACUCUGGGACUAUUCCUUUCCUUGUCCCAGCCACCAGGCUUCUUUUAAUGCCAGUUCAUAUCACAUUUACUUGUUUUGGCAGCCAGGUCACAUCACUGGCUCAGGUUGUAUUUACUGUCAACUAAAGCCCUGGAUCUCUUUUCAUGUGAGGAGCACUUAAGUCAGGGUAGACUGUGUUAGCCAAGAGCAUGACUAGAUUCAUGGCUCUGCUGCUCUUCUAAUAUUACCAAGAACAUGGAACACAGGAUUAAAAACAUUCCAAACUUCUCUACUCACCCCUAACCAAAAUCCUGGCAAUUCAAUAGUUUUAACAGAAGAAAGAAAAAAUAAAAGGUUGAGCAUCAGACAAUGGUGUGAAUUGUGAAAUGCAUUAUCAGGUCUCUGGGCUUAGUUUUACCAAAAGGACCCACAGGGAGUCCAAAUGUCCUAGAUAUUUACCUAGAUGGGCAGCCAGGGGACUUCCCUCUUGCACUUAAGGUAAAUGCUGCCAGGGCUGCUGGGACAUAACUAUACUUGCGGUGGUGAAAAAAAUACAUGGAAAUAUACACAGAGGCCCAAUACCAAUGUGUUAUCAAUAGAAAACUAAGUUUACUGCUGUACUUCUCUGGAAGACAAAAAUGCUCAAAUACAGAUUUUGAAGGGAGGAUCCAGCCAAAGAAAACUAUAAAAUGCACGAUCAGGGCCAGACGCCAUGGCUCAUGCCUUUAAUCCCAGCACUUUGGGAGGCCAAGGCAGGCGGAUCACUUGAGGUCAGGAGUUCGAGACCAGCCUGGCCAACAUGGUGAAACCCCAUCUCUACUAAAAAUAUAAAAAUUAGCUGGGCAUAGUGGCAUCCGCCU
This 4685-nucleotide long non-coding RNA is filed under the name Homo sapiens (human). RNAcentral's name for it is "non-protein coding DENND6A-DT:9". The stretch from base 3147 to 3263 matches the Rfam family "Metazoan signal recognition particle RNA". The record is from RNAcentral. Lineage: Eukaryota; Metazoa; Chordata; Mammalia; Primates; Hominidae.